AAAAAUAACUGAUAAGAUUGCUGACCAUGGGUUCCCAGAGAGCCUUCCAGAGACAACAUUCCUGCUGGAUGCUGUGUGGUAGAUUCUCAGCUCUGGCCUCUUUGCCAAGAUCCCUGUGGCUGGGCUCAGGCCCAGAUUAAACUCCU
Sus scrofa (pig) is the source of this 146-nucleotide non-coding RNA. NCBI's taxonomy places the organism in Eukaryota, Metazoa, Chordata, Mammalia, Artiodactyla, Suidae. The record is from Rfam.